GCCCAGAUGGCGGAAUUGGUAGACGCGCGGGACUCAAAAUCCCGUGAUGGUAACAUCGUGAGGGUUCGAUUCCCUCUCUGGGCA
Molecule: transfer RNA, 84 nt
Filed under: Candidatus Magasanikbacteria bacterium CG11_big_fil_rev_8_21_14_0_20_39_34
Lineage: Bacteria; Candidatus Magasanikiibacteriota
Description: tRNA-Leu
Rfam family: tRNA
About the family: Transfer RNA (tRNA) molecules are approximately 80 nucleotides in length. Their secondary structure includes four short double-helical elements and three loops (D, anti-codon, and T loops).
Source: RNAcentral